RNAcentral lists this long non-coding RNA (475 nucleotides) under Bos taurus (domestic cattle). RNAcentral's name for it is "long non-coding RNA NONBTAT021993". Lineage: Eukaryota; Metazoa; Chordata; Mammalia; Artiodactyla; Bovidae. The record is from RNAcentral.
GACUUGUCAUUAACUUGUUUUAAUUUUAAAAUGUAAAACAUCACAUUAUCACACUGCCUUAGUAAAUUAAAAUUAUCCUUUUGAAUGCAAACUUCAGCAUGUAAGAAUCUCAACUUGAAAACUUCACUUUAUUUUGCCAUUUAUCUUAGAAGUUAACAGGACAUAGAUACUUAAAACCAGAUAUGAAAAUAUUCACUUGAUCUAUGUACCUCUAAACUCCUGUACCUUUGUUUCCAUGUUCUCAGGAAAAAAAGCCGAAUGAUUGAGUGUGAACAGAGUACCCUCAGGGGAUUCCCUAUCUCUUAUAUGUUUCAUUAUCAAAGGAAGUAAAAUUUAAAAUGUUCUGACCUAUAUACACUGACUACAAUCUGGUACAAUGUACUGUAGCCCAUGAGGUAGGCUCCAUACCUCUGAGACUGUAUCAUGUGCUUUACAGAAUUUCUGGAACAAAAUUUCCAGGACUCAAAUCCAUACU